UAUUUUGAUUGUGCAAAGGUAGCAUAAUAAUUAGUUUUUUAAUUGAGAACUGGUAUGAAUGGUUGGACGAGAAAAAAACUGUCUCAAUUUAAUUUUAAUUAGAAUUUUAUUUUUAAGUUAAAAAGCUUAAAUAUAUUUAAAAGACGAGAAGACCCUAUAGAGUUUUAUAAAAUUUAGUAUUUUUAAUAAUUUUAGUAUUUUAUCAAUUAAUUAUAUUAUUUUUAUUUGAUUGGGGCGAUUAAAAAAUUUAAAUAACUUUUUUUAAGUAUAAACAUUAAUUUAUGAAUAAUUGAUCC
This 296-nucleotide ribosomal RNA is filed under the name Neosisyphus setiger. Its description in RNAcentral is "partial 16S ribosomal RNA". Lineage: Eukaryota; Metazoa; Arthropoda; Insecta; Coleoptera; Scarabaeidae. The record is from RNAcentral.